AAAAAAAAAAAAAACUAUUUUCUCUUCAAUCUUCUCUUCUUCUCUCCCACCACACAUGAAGACAUUCUCUGUGUGCCCUAGCAGCCGCCGACCAUCUCCUCUCCAUUUGGUACCGUGCGUCCGAUCGAGCCACCACCAGUUCGUCGAUUGUUCGUUCGUGGUUGUCGUUCAUGCAGGUCAGCUCGACCUCGUCAGCAAGCAGCGAUCGUCUAGAUCUCCUCUGUCGUACACCUCUCCGCACGUCGAUCUCGCCCAGCCGGUCAGAUUCGUGUCCGCGCCGCACUGUCCACCAAGGUCUGAAGCCGAACGACCCAGCCCAGCCAUCGAAACUCCCUUCGUGAGCCGAUCCUCCGCUCUGUUCCGUCGAGAGUCAUUCGUGCACUCGGUCCUGCACACCAUUGCCGUCAGUUCAGUGUCAUCGCCGUUGAUUUCGAUAAGAUUUUAUUCGAGCUUUGGAGGAAUUUUAAGGUCGAAGUGUGUUGUCCGACAUUACAAAGGAUUGAUUUUGUUGCAGUUGGUUAGCCAAUAGAAUUGGGUUUUUAAAAUUUGUUUUGGACGAAGCCACAAUUACGGUGUUACUUCAAGGUCUUGGUUGGAAAGAAGAAGAUAAACUUGCUUGGUUUUAUUUGGAUUUAAUUCUGAGGUAAGGGUAGAGAUGCACCGACGAUGACACAGUGGAAUUCGUGAUCGUGCCACUUGGACUAGUU
Long non-coding RNA from Benincasa hispida (wax gourd), 707 nucleotides. RefSeq lists it as uncharacterized. The record is from RefSeq and is a predicted model, not a curated record. Lineage: Eukaryota; Viridiplantae; Streptophyta; Magnoliopsida; Cucurbitales; Cucurbitaceae.